RNAcentral lists this ribosomal RNA (162 nucleotides) under uncultured bacterium. RNAcentral describes it as "partial 16S rRNA". It matches the Rfam family "Bacterial small subunit ribosomal RNA", at positions 355 to 511 of the family's 1533-position model. The record is from RNAcentral.
UAGGGAAUCUUCCACAAUGGCGAAAGCUGAUGGAGCAACGCCGCGUGAGUGAAGAAGGGUUUCGGCUCGUAAAACUCUGUUGUUAAAGAAGAACAUAUCUGAGAGUAACUGUUCAGGUAUUGACGGUAUUUAACCAGAAAGCCACGGCUAACUACGUGCCAC